GCCUGGGUGGCGGAAUUGGUAGACGCAAGGGACUUAAAAUCCCUCGAUACUUAGUAUCGUACGAGUUCGAUUCUCGUCCUAGGCACCA
This 88-nucleotide transfer RNA is filed under the name Desulfobacterales bacterium. Its description in RNAcentral is "tRNA-Leu". It matches the Rfam family "tRNA". Rfam says of the family: Transfer RNA (tRNA) molecules are approximately 80 nucleotides in length. Their secondary structure includes four short double-helical elements and three loops (D, anti-codon, and T loops). Further hydrogen bonds mediate the characteristic L-shaped molecular structure. tRNAs have two regions of fundamental functional importance: the anti-codon, which is responsible for specific mRNA codon recognition, and the 3' end, to which the tRNAs corresponding amino acid is attached (by aminoacyl-tRNA synthetases). tRNAs cope with the degeneracy of the genetic code in two manners: having more than one tRNA (with a specific anti-codon) for a particular amino acid; and 'wobble' base-pairing, i.e. permitting non-standard base-pairing at the 3rd anti-codon position. Lineage: Bacteria; Pseudomonadati; Thermodesulfobacteriota; Desulfobacteria; Desulfobacterales. The record is from RNAcentral.